GACGAACGCUGGCGGCGUGCCUAAUACAUGCAAGUAGAACGCUGAAGGAGGAGCUUGCUUCUCUGGAUGAGUUGCGAACGGGUGAGUAACGCGUAGGUAACCUGCCUGGUAGCGGGGGAUAACUAUUGGAAACGAUAGCUAAUACCGCAUAAUAGCAGUUAUUGCAUGAUAACUGUUUGAAAGGUGCAAUUGCACCACUACCAGAUGGACCUGCGUUGUAUUAGCUAGUUGGUGGGGUAACGGCUCACCAAGGCGACGAUACAUAGCCGACCUGAGAGGGUGAUCGGCCACACUGGGACUGAGACCCGGCCCAGACUCCUACGGGAGGCAGCAGUAGGGAAUCUUCGGCCAUGGACGGAAGUCUGACCGAGAAACGCCGCGUGAGUGAAGAAGGUUUUCGGAUCGUAAAGCUCUGUUGUAAGAGAAGAACGAGUGUGAGAGUGGAAAGUUCACACUGUGACGGUAUCUUACCAGAAAGGGACGGCUAACUACGUG
Molecule: ribosomal RNA, 495 nt
Filed under: uncultured bacterium
Lineage: Bacteria
Description: partial 16S ribosomal RNA
Rfam family: Bacterial small subunit ribosomal RNA
Source: RNAcentral